UACGUAGGGGGCAAGCGUUGUCCGGAUUUAUUGGGCGUAAAGAGCGUGUAGGCGGCCAGAUAGGUCUGUUGAUGAAAACUCGAGGCUCAACCUCGAGACGCCGAUGGAAACCAUUUGGCUAGAGUCCGGAAGAGGAGAGUGGAAUUCCUGGUGUAGCGGUGAAAUGCGCAGAUAUCAGGAAGAACACCCGUGGCUAAGGCGGCUCUCUAGUACGGUACUGACGCUGAGACGCGAAAGCGUGGGGAGCGAACAGG
This 254-nucleotide ribosomal RNA is filed under the name uncultured bacterium. RNAcentral's name for it is "partial 16S ribosomal RNA". It matches the Rfam family "Bacterial small subunit ribosomal RNA", at positions 524 to 776 of the family's 1533-position model. The record is from RNAcentral.